CCUACGGGAGGCAGCAGUGAGGAAUAUUGGUCAAUGGUCGGGAGCCUGCACCAGCCAAGUCGCGUGAGGGAGGACGGUCCUAUGGAUUGUAAACCUCUUUAGGCGGGGAGCAAUGCCGGGCACGCGUGCCCGGAGGGAGAGUACCCGCAGCAUAAGCAUCGGCUAACUCCGUGCCAGCAGCCGCGGUAAUACGGAGGAUGCGAGCGUUAUCCGGCUUUAUUGGGUUUAAAGGGUGCGUAGGCGGAUUUUUAAGUCAGCGGUAAAAUGUCCGGGCUCAACCCGGGCCGGCCGUUGAAACUGGGGAGCUUGAGUGGGCGAGAAGUAGGCGGAAUGCGUGGUGUAGCGGUGAAAUGCAUAGAUAUCACGCAGAACUCCGAUUGCGAAGGCAGCAUACCGGCGCCCGACUGACGCUGAGGCACGAAAGCGUGGGGAUCGAACAGGAUUAGAUACCCCGGUAGUC
This 460-nucleotide ribosomal RNA is filed under the name uncultured bacterium. RNAcentral's name for it is "partial 16S ribosomal RNA". It matches the Rfam family "Bacterial small subunit ribosomal RNA", at positions 338 to 795 of the family's 1533-position model. The record is from RNAcentral.